RNAcentral lists this transfer RNA (77 nucleotides) under Acidimicrobiales bacterium. RNAcentral describes it as "tRNA-His". It matches the Rfam family "tRNA". Rfam says of the family: Transfer RNA (tRNA) molecules are approximately 80 nucleotides in length. Their secondary structure includes four short double-helical elements and three loops (D, anti-codon, and T loops). Further hydrogen bonds mediate the characteristic L-shaped molecular structure. tRNAs have two regions of fundamental functional importance: the anti-codon, which is responsible for specific mRNA codon recognition, and the 3' end, to which the tRNAs corresponding amino acid is attached (by aminoacyl-tRNA synthetases). tRNAs cope with the degeneracy of the genetic code in two manners: having more than one tRNA (with a specific anti-codon) for a particular amino acid; and 'wobble' base-pairing, i.e. permitting non-standard base-pairing at the 3rd anti-codon position. The record is from RNAcentral. Lineage: Bacteria; Bacillati; Actinomycetota; Acidimicrobiia; Acidimicrobiales.
GUGGCUGUAGCUCAGUCGGUUAGAGCGCCAGGUUGUGGUCCUGGAGGUCGGGGGUUCGAUUCCCCUCAGCCACCCCA